This 378-nucleotide unclassified non-coding RNA is filed under the name plant metagenome. Its description in RNAcentral is "partial contains 5.8S ribosomal RNA, internal transcribed spacer 2, and large subunit ribosomal RNA". The stretch from base 1 to 105 matches the Rfam family "5.8S ribosomal RNA", at positions 50 to 154 of the family's 154-position model. The record is from RNAcentral.
GAAAUGCGAUAAGUAAUGUGAAUUGCAGAAUUCAGUGAAUCAUCGAAUCUUUGAACGCACCUUGCGCUCCUUGGUAUUCCUUGGAGCAUGCCUGUUUGAGUAUCAUGAAAUCUUCAAAGUAAAUCUUUUGUUAACUCAAUUGGUUUCUACUUUGGUAUUGGAGGUCUUUGCAGCUUCACACCUGCUCCUCUUUGUUCAUUAGCUGGAUCUCAGUGUUAUGCUUGGUUCCACUCGGCGUGAUAAGUUAUCUAUCGCUGAGGACACUGUAAAAGAUGGCCAAGGUAAAUGCAGAUGAACCGCUUCUAAUAGUCCAUUGACUUGGACAAUACUUUUAUGAUCUGAUCUCGAAUCAGGUAGGACUACCCGCUGAACUUAAGC